RNAcentral lists this long non-coding RNA (406 nucleotides) under Triticum aestivum (bread wheat). RNAcentral describes it as "long non-coding RNA (TAES_LNC021404)". The record is from RNAcentral. Lineage: Eukaryota; Viridiplantae; Streptophyta; Magnoliopsida; Poales; Poaceae.
GACACUUAUCUAGAUACUCCUUUUUGAAUGAAAGGAAACAAAAGCGAAAGCCAGUAUGUCAUAUAAUACUUGUUUUGAUUCAUAGAACUCGACAUAAAAGGCACCAUGGUUCAAACACACGACGAAAUAGAUAUGAAGAUGAAUCUAGAUGGUUGAAACAUACUCUUGCAUCAGAAAUUUAGCACCGGACAAAUCGAUACUUAUCUAGAUGCCGCGCAGGGCAUAACAGCAUAGCGGCGAAGAGGUUCGUCCUAGCUACUCCCACUGUCCCACAUCCAUGCAGGAACCAGCGGCGCUCCUCCAUCCACAUGCUCAAAGAAAUCCACCAUAUCAUCCUCCUCCAGCUCGAGCUCCUCAGGUGUGCUCUCCGAGCGAAAGCGGGAGCCGUUGAUCAUGAAGACGCCCG